GGUCCAGGAUGGAGGAAUAAAUUUUGGAAUAGGAACUUCUUCUCCUGCCUUCUAAGCAGAGGGUCUCAGGUUCGAAUCCUGACGGGAUCA
Molecule: transfer RNA, 90 nt
Filed under: Saprospiraceae bacterium
Lineage: Bacteria; Pseudomonadati; Bacteroidota; Saprospiria; Saprospirales; Saprospiraceae
Also listed under: 1 other name
Description: tRNA-Arg
Source: RNAcentral